CAGUCGCCGCGGUAAUACAGAGGGUGCGAGCGUUAAUCGGAUUUACUGGGCGUAAAGCGUGCGUAGGCGGCUUCUUAAGUCGGAUGUGAAAUCCCUGAGCUUAACUUAGGAAUUGCAUUCGAUACUGGGAAGCUAGAGUAUGGGAGAGGAUGGUAGAAUUCCAGGUGUAGCGGUGAAAUGCGUAGAGAUCUGGAGGAAUACCGAUGGCGAAGGCAGCCAUCUGGCCUAAUACUGACGCUGAGGUACGAAAGCAUGGGGAGCAAACAGGAUUGGAUACCCGGGUAGUCCCUGUCUCUUAUAC
Molecule: ribosomal RNA, 301 nt
Filed under: uncultured bacterium
Lineage: Bacteria
Description: partial 16S ribosomal RNA
Rfam family: Bacterial small subunit ribosomal RNA
Source: RNAcentral